AAGACUAUAGACCUGCGGAGUACCUGCGGAGGGAUCAUUAUAGAGUUUUCUAAACUCCCAACCCAUGUGAACUUACCUUUUGUUGCCUCGGCAGAAGUUAUAGGUCUUCUUAUAGCUGCUGCCGGUGGACCAUUAAACUCUUGUUAUUUUAUGUAAUCUGAGCGUCUUAUUUUAAUAAGUCAAAACUUUCAGCAACGGAUCUCU
Molecule: unclassified non-coding RNA, 204 nt
Filed under: soil metagenome
Description: partial contains 5.8S ribosomal RNA, internal transcribed spacer 2, and large subunit ribosomal RNA
Source: RNAcentral